GCAAACUCGCGAGAGUAAGCUAAUCUCUUAAAGCCGUUCUCAGUUCGGACUGUAGGCUGCAACUCGCCUACACGAAGUCGGAAUCGCUAGUAAUCGCGGAUCAGCAUGCCGCGGUGAAUACGUUCCCGGGCCUUGUACACACCGCCCGUCACACCAUGGGAGUUUGUAACGCCCAAAGUCGGUGGCCUAACCUUUACAGGAGGGAGCUGCCGAAGGCGGGGCUGAUAACUGGGGUGAAGUCGUAACAAGGUAGC
Molecule: ribosomal RNA, 254 nt
Filed under: uncultured bacterium
Lineage: Bacteria
Description: partial 16S ribosomal RNA
Rfam family: Bacterial small subunit ribosomal RNA
Source: RNAcentral